UAAUGAUGAUGAUAAUGAUAAUGAUAAUGAUAAUGAUAAUGAUAAUGAUAAUGAUAAUUAUUAUUAUUAUUAUUAUUAUUAUUAUUAUUAUUUCCA
RNAcentral lists this microRNA precursor (96 nucleotides) under Podarcis lilfordi (Lilford's wall lizard). Lineage: Eukaryota; Metazoa; Chordata; Lepidosauria; Squamata; Lacertidae. The record is from RNAcentral.